AGUCCCUGGUGGAGAGGUCACAGGCUGCCCAUUCCAGGGGCAACCUGGGCUCCUUGCAGCUGGAGGUGCGGCUGCGGGACGAGACGGUGCUGCCCUCCAGCUACUACCAGCCACUGGUGCACCUGCUGUGCCACGAGGUCAAGCUGAGCAUGCAGGGCCCAGGGCAGCUGAUCCCACUCAUCGAGGAGACAACCAGCACCGAGUGUCGCCAGGACGUGGCCACGAACCUGCUCAAGCUCUUCCUGGGGCAGGGGCUGGCCAAGGACUUCCUGGACCUGCUCUUCCAGCUGGAGCUGAGUCGCACCAGUGAGACCAACACCCUGUUCCGGAGCAACUCUCUGGCCUCAAAGUCCAUGGAGUCUUUUCUGAAGGUGGCCGGGAUGCAGUACCUGCACGGCGUCCUGGGCCCCAUCAUCAACAAGGUGUUUGAGGAGAAGAAGUACGUGGAGCU
This 451-nucleotide long non-coding RNA is filed under the name Pan troglodytes (chimpanzee). RNAcentral's name for it is "long non-coding RNA NONPTRT016328". Lineage: Eukaryota; Metazoa; Chordata; Mammalia; Primates; Hominidae. The record is from RNAcentral.